CUAGCCGUAAACGAUGGAUACUAGGCGUUGUGAGUAUCGACCCUCACAGUGUCGUAGCUAACGUGUUAAGUAUCCCGCCUGGGGAGUACGCGCGCAAGCGUGAAACUCAAAGGAAUUGACGGGGGCCCGCACAAGCGGUGGAGUAUGUGGUUUAAUUCGAUGCAACGCGAAGAACCUUACCAGGACUUGACAUGUCGCGAAUCUCAGGGAAACUUGAGAGUGCCUUCGGGAGCGCGAACACAGGUGGUGC
This 250-nucleotide ribosomal RNA is filed under the name uncultured Chroococcidiopsis sp. Its description in RNAcentral is "partial 16S ribosomal RNA". It matches the Rfam family "Bacterial small subunit ribosomal RNA", at positions 796 to 1044 of the family's 1533-position model. The record is from RNAcentral. Lineage: Bacteria; Bacillati; Cyanobacteriota; Cyanophyceae; Chroococcidiopsidales; Chroococcidiopsidaceae.